This 491-nucleotide unclassified non-coding RNA is filed under the name Hevea brasiliensis (rubber tree). The record is from RNAcentral. Lineage: Eukaryota; Viridiplantae; Streptophyta; Magnoliopsida; Malpighiales; Euphorbiaceae.
GUUCCUGCCUCCUACUACUGUUGGUGUACUUGCCAAGUACCAUAAAGAUCACAAAGAAAACAUAAUUUCUAGGCCAGAACUAGUACAGCGAGUGAGACAAUUAGUCGGGGACAAGUUGUUGGCUUCUGUUAUCAAAUCGUUUAGAACCAAGAAAGCUAAAGGAUCAAGCAGUUCUAAGCAAGCAAUAGGAGGUGGGAAUCAUGUGAAUUGAGAUGAGAUCAGAGACAUCGUGGAUGGCUAGAUUAUGGCAAUUUGCAAUCCUGAAGAGGAAGGAGAAGGCUAAUAAAACUGACAUGAACUAAAAGAUAAUCCAAAAGGAAACAGCAGUUAAGGAUCCAGCAGCUGCCAUGGGCUAUUUUUGGGGGUCUAAUAUUAGUGCAGAGAGUAGUAUGUGUAGAAUACAGAUCUUUUUUUAGAUCACUAUAUUGUUGUGGAAUUUGAAAUGUAUUGUCAGCAAUAUGUGAAAAAAUAAAGAGUAAACUUCUUUGGUG